Molecule: long non-coding RNA, 30296 nt
Filed under: Ananas comosus (pineapple)
Lineage: Eukaryota; Viridiplantae; Streptophyta; Magnoliopsida; Poales; Bromeliaceae
Description: long non-coding RNA (ACOM_LNC017209)
Source: RNAcentral
AUAAUUACCUAUAUACCCCUCAAAAUUUCAUAAAUAUUUUAUUUAUCUCUAUUUUUUUUUCUUUCUAAUAUACCCCCUCAUAUGUUCCUCCGUUAUUCCAAAAUUUCUCUGCAAUUACCAUCCGUUAAGUUAACUUAGGUUCAACGUGAGUUAAAUAUCUACUAGAGUGAAAAAAAAAUAAAAUAAAAUACCUCUUUUAUCCUUAACUUAAGGAAAAAUAAGAAAUAAUGGUGAUGGUAGAAGGGUAUGUUUGAAAAGACUAAAAAUCAAAAUGUUUUUGUACCCCUAACUUAAGAGCAAAUAAGAAAAGUCGGUGAUGGUAAAAUGGUAUAUAUUUAAAAGGGCAAAAUAGUAAUUUUAUAGAGAUAACGGAUAUUGCUAACAGUUUAUUAACAUAAUUCAAUUCUAGGGGUAUAUUUGAAAUAGGUUGGAAUAUAAAAAAAAAAGAAGAUAUUUUCAAUAUUAGCCUUCUAAAAGAGAUAAAUUAGAAAGUCAAAAACUUUUCAGAGAUGUAUAAGCAAUUGAGCCCCCAAAAAAUAAUGGAAUUUAAUGAACUUCAAAUAUCUACAAUUAACAUUUUUUGGGUAAUAUAUGGCUUUUCAGUCUCUCUUAAUAAGGUUGUUAGAUUUUAUCUGAAAUACUAGAUCCAUUAACCGUAAUAUCGGAUUGAUAAGAAAAAAAAUAGUUUAGUAAUAUAUAUGAGAAAAUAAAAUAAUACAAAGUAGAAAAACAAAAAUAAAUCUAAAAUAUAGUGUAGAGAUUGAUAGAUGUCUUUGAAAAAAGAAUUAAUACAACAUAGUAAAUGAAAAAAGCACUAAAGUGUUAUCUACUAUGUAUAGUACUGUUGACUAACUCAUAUCAAAUAAAUUAAAAAGUUGGACAGUAAAAUUAGAAUUUUGAAGGUUGGAUCGUGAACUCAAAUAGUUUAUAGUUGAGCUAAGUUCUGUAUGUUUUAACCAAUAAAAAUUAAAAAAUAAAAGAGAAAAUUUGAGAUUUCAAGCUCGUUAGAACUCUUUAUAACCCUAAUGGGCCGGGCCGUCGGCCCAAUAACCAAUAACCCAAUUAAAUGACGAGCCCACGACUUUGAUUGCUUGUAUGGAGUUAUAACUACAUAUAGAUUCAAAUUUAGUAUCUGGUUUGAUGUAUUUGAAUUCGACUGCUGCAGAUGGAACUGUAUGCAAAGGUUCAACUUCAGUAGUUGGAACUACGCCCGAUUUGUCACAGUUCCGAUCAUAGCAGUUGGAGAGUGGUUUUAAACAAAAAAUACGAUUACACAAUAAUUGGCAAGAGAAUCUUUAAAUAAAAGAUAAGUUUAUUUUCCUAAUAAUUUUUUAAUUAAAUUUUUUUAAAAAAUUUCUCCUAAUCUCGCCACAAUAUAUAUAAGGUGAUGAAGUACACUUCUCAAGUACAUAUAAUCAAACAAAUUAUUUAUAAUUAUAGUGCUUUAUACUACAUCCAAGAUGAAAUUAUUAUAUUUUUAACUACAUUAGGCUGUAUUUUUAAUUACAUCCAACCAAAUCGCCCUUGUAGAGAGCUGAUAUGUACGAUGGAAUAUAAAAAGUGAUAUAGUAGGCGAAAAUAAAAUUGCAAUAACCAUCACUGUUUAGCAUGGCUAAUUGAUGUUGAUUAUCUAUAAAUAUUAAAGAAAUAUUUUAAUUCUUACGCUUUUAAAAGUUUUAAAAUUACGAAUUUAUUUAUGCAAAAAAUUAAUUAUCAAAACGUUUUAAACUUAAUUCUUGUGAAUCCUAGUUGAUUGACGUUUCUAGCUAAGUUUAUUUCUAGCUAAGUUUAUUUCUAAAUAAAAUAAACAAAGCGGAUNUCUUUCUCAAAAAAAAAAAAAAAAAUAGGAUUUAAAAUUUAUAGUUUUAAAAAAAUUUGAAUAAAAAGAUAUAAUAAAUUAAAGUUUGAGGAUAUAAGUGUUGUGCGUCUUUUAAGUUUGCAAAAGAAAAGUACAAAUUAGCCGACUAAAAUAAAACCAAUGAAUAAUUAAUUGUUAUAUUUUAAAAUGGUACGUAAAAAAGAUGCUAAUAAAUCUCGAGGGAGUAAAUUAAAAUUUAUCCUUUAAAAUAUUCUACAAUGCCUUGGAAUCAAUGGAAACGUGAUAUAAUUAAAUGAGGCACAUUUUUUAGUCAAACAAGUAUUUUGUCUUUUCCACUCCGAGAUCUGUGUCUCUGAAGAAAACAAAAAACAAAAAAAAUUAAAAAAAAUAAAAACUGGUCAAUGUAUCAGAACACAGUAAUUGUUACUGAUCCCAAAGUGACUCUUCCAUCUACUAUUAUUAUUAUAUAUCUAUAAUAAUAGGGUAAACUCAUAACUAUUAUUAUUAUUAUUAUUAUUAUUAUUAUUAUUUUUUGUCUUCGUCCUGUUCUAAGCCUGAGCUGUCUCACCCAUAUAGCUUAGUUCAUUUUUCCAAUGAAUAAAAUGGGUAACAUACUAUCUUUUUCGCAAAAAAAAUGAUAGGAUAAACUUUCAUUGUGCCCCUUCUAGUUUGAGGGGUUUUUUUAUUUGUUUGUUCGUAAACUAAUUUUAAAAUUAAAUGUCAGUGAAACUAAUAUUUAGAUCAAAGUUAUUUUUUCUCAAUGGUUUGUUUGACAAAAAGUCAAUAAAUUCACUGUAAUUUAUUACCACUCAUUUGUUUUCAAUGAUGGAGCCUCCAAAUCGACGUUCAGCACUAUUAAAUAUUAUUUAUACUAUUUGAAGUAUCUAGAAAUCAAAUUUUAUAUUUUUUCGAUAUUGUUAUCUAGUCCAUCAAGUGGGCGUAAAAAUGAAUGGCUAAAAAUAAAUAUCCUUCAAAAAGUGAUGAUUGAAAUUUUGUAAUCUUUGGAACGUAAUAUCACAAACCCCCGGCGCCUCUACAAGAACUAAAGGUUUAACCAAGCUAGCGGCUAUUUGGUGGGUCCUCUGGACCGAGCGAAAUAGUUUUGUUUUUAGUUCGAAUCUUCCCAACGUCGUCAAAGCCUCGGACAGAGCUUCUACCUUGUUUAGCUCUUGGAUCACGCUCCCGUUACCCGUCAACUGGCUACCUCCCUCUAAUCUUCUCUCUUCCUUUUUUCCUUUCUUAGUUGCUUCUCUUUCGUUUUUAUAUUCGUUUUUAUAUUUUCGGUUUGGUUUUUUGUCGAGGAAGCCUAAGCUGUUUUCACCUUGUACGCUUAGUUCAUUUAUCCUAUUGAAUGAAGCAGCUAGCGUGCUACCUUUCUCUCAAAAAAAGAAAUUUUGUAAUCACGAUCGAGAGGAUAGAUCUUGUUCUAAAUAGUUAAAAAAAAUUUCUAACCAAAAUUCAAUUAAUUUGGAUAGUUUUACACCGUUAAACAAGAAAACGUCUCAUAUAUCUACCAUUAAAAUUACAAAUUUUAAAACCUUUUGAUCAUUAGGUUAAUGAUGUCGAAAAAAAUUGAAAUUUAAUUUUUAAAUAUUUCUAGUGGUAUAGAUCAUAUUUAACGAUGCUGAUCAUCGAUUUGAAGGCUCCAUCAUAAAAAAUAAAUGGUGAUAACAAAGCCCGUCUGCUACCGAUAGCAUUCCAGCUUGUUUCAUAUAAUAGCUUCUCUCUCUCUCUUUCUCUCUCUCUCUCUCUCUCUAUAUUACCCUUAAAUUUAUUCUAUUGAUUAUUUUCAUCCGUUAGAUCAUAUUAUUCAACCAACUACUCACUCAACCCUAAAGAACCACUAUUAUUCGAAGUGAGGACUACAAUCAUCCUAACCACACAUCCCAUCGAUCAACGGUUAAAAAUUUAUGAGUACAAGAAGAUCUAUACUCAUAAGAGCAUAGUAACCCCAGCCUCUAUAUAUAUAUAUAUAUAUAUAUAUAUCCAUUUCUUAUUCUGCCAUUUGCACAGUUUCUCUUUCUCUGGCUCUCUCGCUCUCCCCAAAAUCUUAAAUUCUAAACCCUAAAUCCGAAAACUCGGUGAAUAUUGAGACGGGAUCAAUGGCUGCCAAUGCCGCCCCGCUGCACGUGUUCUUCCUCCCGUUCCCGGCGGCAGGCCACUCCAUCCCGAUGCUCAACGUCGCCGCCCUCUUCACGUCCCGCGGCGCCACCUCCACCGUCGUCCUCCUCCGCGCCAACGACGAUUCCGCCGAUUCCACAUCGAAUUCUAAUCGCUGCGGCGGCGGUGACAAUGACGACAAUGACGACAAUGGCGGUCUCCGGUUCCUGUCCCUGCCCUUCUCCUAUGCUGCCGCAGGGAUUGCCGAGGGGGAGGUACCGCUGCCCAGCGCCUACGCCACGCCGGAGUUCGAGGCCGCGCUCGACGCCGUCGGCGAGCCAUUCCUCGAGCUGCUGAAGGCCCACCGCCCUGACUGUGUCGUCGCCGACCUCCAGAUCCCCUUCGCCGCCGAGCACGCCGCCGCCCUCGCCAUCCCCCACCUCACCCUCCAGGUAUGCAUGCAUGCAUACAUACAUGCAUUUCCACGGAACUCUCUAACUAUUCAUCAAUUUUGAUGGAUGAAUAGAAAGCUAGAAACAUAAGAACUGUUGUAGUCCUGAUAGCAUAGUAAUUAUAUAUAUAUAUAUAUAUAUAUAUACACACACACACGUCGACCCCAUGCAAGGGUGCAUGCAUGCACGCAGGUGACGUGCGCGUUCUCGCUGAUCGUGAUGGGGAUCAUCAACCACGCGAAGCCCCACCUCGGCGUCGCCUCCCCCUCGGAGCCCUUCGUCGUCCCGGGCCUCCCCCACCGGAUCGAGCUCACGCCGGCGCAGCUCCCCUCGCACCUCACCGCCCCGGUGGCGGCCGAGCGCAACCGCCGGAUCCUCGCCGCCCAGCGCGGCGGCGGCGGCGGCGGCGGGGGGUGCUCCCUGGGCAUGAUCCUCAACACCUUCCGCGCGCUCGAGCCCGCCUACGUCGACAUGCUCCGCCGCGCCGGCAGAUUCAGCGCCUGGUGCGUCGGCCCCAUCUCUUCCUCCGCCGCCGCGCGCCGGCGGCGACGAAAUGGUGAUCGGAGCGCGGCGGCCGACGGAGAGUGCCUGCGGUGGCUCGACCGGUACGAGGGCCCGCCCGGGUCGGUCCUCUUCCUCUGCUUCGGGAGCCAGGGCCGGUUCACGCGAGCGCAGCGGCGCGAGCUCGCGCGGGGGCUCGCGAUCGCAAGCGUGCCCUUCGUGUGGGUGGUGAACAAGGGAGAGGAGGAUGAUGAUGAUGAGGAGGAGGAGGAGGAGGAGGAGAGGAUUGUUAGGGUUUCGGGGUUGGGGUUGGUGGUGCGGGGGUGGGCGCCGCAGGUGGAGGCGCUGGCGCACCCGGCGGUGGGGGGGUUCGCGACGCACUGCGGGUGGAACUCGUGCGCGGAGGGGAUCGCGGCCGGGGCAGCCAUGGUCACGUGGCCGCUCUACGCGGAGCAGUUCGUGAACGAGCGGCUCCUGGUGGACGUGGUCGGCACGGGGGCGCCCGUGGGGGCGAGGGUGUGGAGCGACCGCGCGGAGGAGAGGGGGCUGGUGGCGGCGGAGGCGGUGGCGGCGGCGAUCUCGCGGGUGAUGGGGGACGGCGCGGAGGCGGAGGGCCGGAGGCGGAGGGCGAGGGAGAUCGCCGAGGAGGCCAGGCGGGCGGUGGCCGAGGGUGGCACGGCGAGCGACGACAUGGCCUGGCUCGUCGCGGAGAUACUGAGGAUCAAGGAGGAGAAGAAGAAGAAGAUGGAGGAGGAGGAGGAGGAGGAGGAGGAGAAGAUGUGAGUGUGUGGUGUGAGAGUAAAAAAUCAAAGUUACUAGAGUAGAGCUACGAUGCUAUCGGAAGUAUAGAAUAUCUAAUACUUUCGACUUUUUGGCUCAUAGAUCAGUUCCUUUAAUCAUUUCUUAUCUUUGAAUUAUUCUUAGGGAACCACUCAACUCUAGUGAUACUAUUUAAUCCUAGAGGGGACUGCGAAAUUAUCACAAUCGUAUAAUUUUGAAUCCAAGAGUCAAAAAAAUCGAAAGUAUCAAAUUUUUUAUAUUUUUGAUAGUAUAAUAUCUCUACUUAAAUAACCAUAUAAUUAUAGAAAAAUAGUAUUUGCUGUCUACUUUCUAAACUUUCUAUUGUUUGGAUGAUUUUCAAAAGCAAAGCUGAAAAGUAGAUAGAACACUAUUUAUCUAUUAUUAAUAUUAUUAUUAUAGACCAGUUGUUAUUAUUAUUAUUAUUAUUAUUAUUAUUAUUAAGUGUCAGUAGGUACCACUGAUGAAUCUUUGUGGUUCGUUAUUGAGGAGCGAGAAGCAGGGGCUUUUUUAUAAAAUGACCCUCCAAAAAAUUGAAAUUGACAAAAUGACCCUGUAAAAAUUUUAUUUGUAAAACUAACCCUCCUUUCGCCACGUGGGCGCCACGUUAGGGUCUCCUUACAAAGACGGUGAAUCGUUCGCCGUUUUCUCCCAUUUCUUUUAAAGGCGGUGAAUCGUUUCCCGCUUUUAUCCAUUUCUUUUAAAAGCGGUGAAUCGUUNGCCUUAGUUGAGGGGGUUCGUACGCAAUUUUACCUAACCAAUGGGUAGGGCUUUUUUAUAAAAUGACCCUCCAAAAAAUUGAAAUUGGCAAAAUGACCCUGUAAAAAUUUUAUUUGUAAAACUAACCCUCCUUUCGCCACGUGGGUGCCACGUCAGGGUUUCCUUACAAAGACGGUGAAUCGUUCGCCGUUUUCUCCCAUUAUCCAUUUCUUUUAAAAGCGGUGAAUCGUUCACCACUUUCUCCUAUUUCUUUUAAAGGCGGUAAAUCGUUCACCGCAUUCAUUAAAAUUAUGCGUGAAUUAUAUAGGAAAUAGAAAAAAGUGAGGUUGUUAGGAUUAUAUGUGGAUCAUUAGAAUUUUUAUUUGAUUAUUAGGAUUGUAUGGAUAGAUUAUUAGGAUUUUCAGGCUGUUAAGAUUAUAUGAAAUUAUAUGGAUAAAUUAUUAGGAUUUAAAGGUUGUUAAGAUUAUAUAUGAUUUGUUAGAAUAUUUAUGUGGUUGUUGGGAUUACAUAUGGGAUAAAUAAGUGAAAGACGGUGAAUGAUUCACCGUCUUUAAAAGAAAUAGAAGAAAGCGGUGAACGAUUCACCGCCUUUAAAAGAAAUGGGAGAAAGCGGUUAACGAUUCACCGCCUUUUUAAAGAAAUUCUGACGUGGCGCCGAUGUGGCGAAAGGAAGGUUAGUUUUCCAAAUAAAAUUUUGAAAGGGUUAUUUCACAAAUUUCAAAAAUUUAGAGGGUUGUUUUAUAAAAAAGUCCAGAAGCAGUGGCUGUCUCUUCUGUCCUUUUUUGAGUGUAAUUUGUCGACUCUUGUGCGUGGAGUUUGUUGAGUUUUGUGUGUAAUGUAUCGUGCCGGAAGAUCCGUUUUAGAGUAUGAACUUGCCUGCACUGAGAAUGAGAAGAAGAAUUAAUAAGACUCACGGGACCGAGACCAAUUGAGUUAAUAAGGAAAGAGAACAAUGUCGGUAGAAGAUAGGAGCUCACGAACAGAGAAAACAGAAGAAAAAUGAAGCAUGAUCAAAAGAGCUUCUACAGGAAUAGAUAUCUGAGAAGUAAUCAAUGUACAGGCCGCAAGAUGCGGAGAGCACUUCACUUCAAAUCCACUCGAAGAGUUCAUAAUUCAUAAGUUCUAUAGAGCAGUAAAAUGAGAACUUGAAAAAAGUAAAAAGAAGAGAAAAAUUUUCAUGUAAACUACUACAACUCCUCUAUCCUCUACUCAAUCACAUUUCUUCUUUGGAAAAAAAAUAUAUAUAAUAAAAAUAUUUCAUUUCUAUAAAGCAUGAUUUGAUGGAAGAGGGGGCCAAAAUGUAAUUGAUUGAAGGCAUCUCGUACCCAAAAAAAAUAAAAUAAAAUAAAAUAAAAUAAAAUAAAAUUCUGAUUCUACUUUACUGACACUUUUUAUAGAUAUUUGCAACAAAACACAUACAUGUGUUUAUGACAUGUCCAUUUCAGACAGCCUGGGCUUAACAUGUUUCUGGAAAAGCUAAAAACCAUGAAUCCAAGGACAGCACAGGUCAGUCAGUCACAAGUAGAGCAUUUCGAGGUUUUCACCACAUGUUUCCCCCUUCAGAUAGAUAUACAACAGUCCAAUAUAAGCCAGAUCACAUUUCGAGGGUUUUUUGUUUUUUUUUUAUCCCAUCUAGGGCACUGCCCAGUGCCCAGUGCCCUAGAUGGGAGAAAAAUCUAAAAACAAAACAGUACACUUUUUUUAAAAAGAAAAUUUUAAAUAAAAUAAAAAAGCGUAGCCUACUCAAAUGGAAAGAACAGCACACUGAUAAAUCCUCUCUUUCUUACCUUUUUUUUAGUUCUCAAUGCUAAUAUAAACAAAAAAUAGAGAACUCGACUAAUAAAUUUUUUUGCCACACCUUAGCUCAUGUUUCACAUAUUUACAAAAUAGAUAUAGUUACAUAAAAAUAUGCAUUGGAUAAAUCCUCUUUCUUACCUUUUUUUCUGUUUAUCAAUGCUAAUAUAAACAAAAAUUAGAGAACUCGACUAACAAAUUUUUUUUGCCACACCUUCAGCUCAUGUUUCUGUUUAAAAGCUUGAAUUUCCAAUCGAUCAGUUGAAAAGCAAGUCCACGUCCACAUAUUUACAAGAUAGAUAUAAUCUGUGCUUCUUCGCCGGCCAAAUCUACAUACCAUAUUUUCAGACACCUGACGGGAGAGGCAGUCUUUGCGAAUUAUUGCACAAUCUUCUUUUGGGGUAGUCGUAGAUUUCACCAGACUUGUGUUUGCUUGUUGCUGACACUACCUGAGAUGAUUUGAGUCUAUCAUUUACCACAGAUACCAAAUGAAACACAUAUUUCUCAUUUUUGAAAACAGUACUAUACAACGAUAAGAAAUUUUUUUCCCCCUCAAGAAAACAAAAAGAGGCUUCCGCUAACCAGUGGCAAGCGAUAGAAAAUCAGGAACUUCCAUUUUCUUCUUUCCUUAGACAGAUAGCGAGGAGGAAACCCAAAAAAAAAUCCUUCAGUUGGGUGUGCGUGCUCGAUCGUCUCUUGGAAAGAAAGAUCGGUUGUUGCAACUUUUUUCUCCCAGUCAUAACCAAGCACCCCAACCUGGAAACAUCUGGCACAAUCGGUCCGUAUCCACCGCAUUCUGUAUGAGUUGUUGCACCUGCAAAACAAUAAUCAAAUUAAUGCCCUUGGUUAACAAGUCGGACGACUUAAAGAGUUUGUUUGUUGUGGUCAUAAACAAGGGCAGUGUGAUUGAGUUGUUUCAACUUUCAGGAAGCAAUGGCACAACUUUAUUGGGUCCAUUAUGUGCAGGGCUUUGGCUUUUCCGACCUCAGAAACACCCCUUGUUCUUCAUCUUUCAACUAGAAACCCCUUCGUUUUUAAGGUUUACCCUCAUAACGCAUUCUUAUAAGCUUCUUUCAGUGGAUCUAAAGAAUAUUCUAUUGACAAUUUUCAAUUUUGGUCCCCUUAAAAGUUUUGCCCUUGUAAAAACUGUAAAGAAAGGAUAUGUAUAUGAAGUGACAAGCGUGUAAAGCUGUUACAAACAAAAAAUAAACAAAAACAGUUGAUGGAAUAUUCAAAUAGAGAGUACCGAUCAAAGAAGGGGGGAAAAAAGAUAAUUGAGGGGCCAUGUCAAAAUGGCGUAUAGUUGAGGGGGUCUUCAUACAUUUUUGCAUUAAAGUUGCAAAGAGUGGUAUGAAAGUUGUUUGAGAAUUACCUGGCCCUGAACACUUCUCAUUUCACCUUCUUCAUAUCCAUCCAGUUUCUGUUUGACUCGCAGUAUAGCACGGGCGGCAUCCUUGUUGCCCUCGUAAGCAUCUUGCGAGCUCUCCAAACACGACUCUACGCCAUCAUCAGUUUCCUGUAAGAAAGGGAGGAUUAAAAUUUUAAUUACAGGGAGGAACACUCUCUGAAGCCAUUUCAGAAUUAUCUUCAAAAAUUUUCAUGGUGAAUUAUAUACAUAAGGAAAAGUUUAGAUAGCCAAGUUGCAAUAGAUGAAAAUAAACCAGUUUAUUUUGCAAAGCUUGACAAAAGAAUAAUUUAUAUCAAAGCAAAAGGAGUUUGUAUAUCCAACAAAAAGAUAAAGGAUAACGUAAAAUUCAGUCAUACCUUCUGACGCUGUAAAGCUUUCAAAGGAGACAGUGCCCACUUAUAGAGAGGGUCGUGGAUGAAGACCUACAAAAUUGAGACAAGUUAGUCACUUGGUGAAAAUAACAAAAAAAAAAAAUCAAGCGCAUUAGCUCUUUAUUCUAGGAAAUUUUUUGAAAGGUUCGACGUUUGUACUUCAAUAAUAGUUAGCAAAGCUUCCUUGUUUGUCCUCAUGACAGAGAGAGUUUCCUCACAGCAUCUUCUGAAAACACCCUCGACGCCAGUAACACCCAUUCCAUCAAUAAUGUCCCUCGUCAGCCGAAAUGGAACCUACCAGUUAUUGCAAAAUCAAAAUUGAAUAAUUCUAAGAACAUGUAUCCACGUUUUUAACACUACAAAAUCAGAAAUUUACAUAUGUCCAUCAAAAACUCAAUUUCUUUGCAAAUUUUCUCUAAUUCAUAACAAACUUUCCCCCAGAUUUGGAUAGGUUCCCAUCUCCAGAGUACAUCUGUAAGAAUAUGCACCUUUUCUAGUAUAUAUGGAAAUUCAGAUUUGUAGCAGCAUAAGCAAAAGAUGAUUUCACAGGGAUGUAAUAUAAAAGACCUUUCUAAGGAUUCAUUUCUUAAAGGAAUAUCUGUAUACAGGCAAGAAAGAAAAGGGAAAUUGCAAAAUUCAAAUACGUACUCUCUCGGGUGUUUUAAGCAUGAGGCCCUGCUCAAAGGCAACACCAAGAUCGAUGUGUACAAUCUCUGCGGUAUCUUGAUCUAUGAGAAUAUUCAUAGAAUGCCUAUCACCUAGCCCUACAAUGUAGCCCACCUGAAACCAAAGGAUAACAGUUCAAAGGUGAAUGCUGAUUACCACAAUUUAAUUUUUUAGGGGUUUUCCUAUUUUACAAAUUUAACCCGUGUUUUAUCUGCUUUUGCAACGCAAGGAAGAAUUUUCUUUUUAUGGACUAGAUUACUAGAAUGACCCUAGCAUGGUUUAUGAUAAAUUCGAACAUUUGGCUUCCACGAUUCCACCCGUGGCAAUUCCUGCUCGUCCAAGAAUCAUUUAGUCAAAAUUUAAAAAUAACUAAGUCAACAAAGGUGAGUCAAAGUGGCAAAAUCACAAAAAGGUAGAAUGUUUAUGCGAAAUGCCCACGAUUAAGAAAGGAAAGCUUUACCAUUGAACUUGCUGCUAUGCUUCUUGUAUAAGAAAGUCGGCUCCCAAACCAAUCAGCAGGCUGCAAGAAUCUCUCCAGAAAGAAGUGGUGCAUCACAGGCCUGGAUAUAAGCCGACAAGUGGAAAAAGAAAAAAGAGAAUAAAAAACAAAACUUCGAUUAGUGUAACAAAAUAAAUGCAUCUGCAAAAUCAUGAGGAGACCUGAAGUUUUCACAGACUUUAAGAAAUGCCUUCCUCUUGUCCUUUUCCUGUCAAAGAAGAAAAGGAAAAAGAAAACAACAUCAAAAAUCCUUCUGAAGAUACAACAGUAUCAUAAUUAUUACUAAGAAGCGCGAACUCUUUUAACUCAAAGUAGAUACAACUUUGCUUACAACACAUUAAAUUUAUAUGAUUGUAAUUAUACUCCCCAUCAACCUUCUUUAAAGCCAUUGUCUUAUAGCGAUUAAAAGUUAAAUUUCACUUUCUAAAUUCAUGAUAAAUCUACAUUGAGGGGUGCACACUAUAGAAACUUACGGGGUUUUAGUUCAAUAGUCCUUUUCUAAAAUUUUAUUUUAAAAAUAAAUCUGUUAAAAUUUUAUUUGUAGAUAUAGUCUUAUAAAAGCGGUGAAUGAUUCACCGCUUUUAAAGCCGGUGAACCAUUCACCGCUUUCUUUCUUUUUCUUCCUUUUUAUUAUAAUUCUACGAUGGUAAGAGCGGUGAAUGGUUCACCGCUUUUAUUAUUUUUUUACUGCUAAAUAGAAGUUAUGAAUGCGGUGAAUGAUUCACCGCAUUUAAAGGCCUAUUUUUAUAAUUAUUUUUUUAAGAAAACUAUUUUUAUAAUUAUAAAAAUUGAUAGGAUUAGUUAUAAAAAAUAUUCGAAACUUACACUUGUCAUGUACUCCCUGCAUUGGAGAAAUGACCAGUCACCUACUCCAUAGCGUCCAUGUGCUCCACCACUUCUUGUGCUAAAUAAGCAAGAAAGAGGAAAAAAAUAUAAAGAAAAUAGAUUGGUGCAUAGCAGAGGUAUACCACGAGAACCUUAGUAUUUAACUAUAAAAAGUACCUUCCUAAAAGAUAUUCGCCAAGUGGAACAGUCCGAUCAACCCAUUCAACCACACCUGCGCUUGGUGUAAAAGGAACCACCUAUUCAAAUAUAGAGCAGAAAUAAGUUAAAGAAUGAUAUUUAAGAACUAAUGUAUUUGACGUAGGGUAGAGAUUCUACGUUUCCCCGCUGAAAAUAUAAUACCUUAACACUUCGAACAACACCAUUACAUCAUGAUUAUUCCUUGUAUAAUAAUUACAGAAAAGAAUCAACCAAAAUAUCACAACAACAUGUCUAUGCAUGAAGAAAAAGAAAUGAUCUAGUCAUAAGGAAAAUAACUACAGGUAAAUCAAAUUAAAAAAGAGAUCCAGGAUGUGUCAGAAGAUACCUUGUAUGUACGAAUUCUCAAUCUCCUCUUCCAUGCAUCUCUAUGGUUUUGUAGGAAAGUGUUUACCAAACCAAAAAAUUGUUCCAUAACCUGCAAAGCUACUACUUUUAUACCCAGGCAUCUACGGAAAAAAACAAACAUAACAAUUGGCUCAUAAUAAAAGAAAUAUAGUUCAUUGGAAUAUCAACUUCUCUAAAGUACAGUAACUCAAUAUAUUUCUGAUGCUUGACUAGUCAAACUGUAUAGAAGAGACUCAUAAUGCCACUUCAAGAAAAUCUACCAAGAUACCAUGCAACCGACUAGUUGUAAUGAGACUUGACAAGGCAUUAGUAAGUAUUACAUGAUGGUAGGUAAAGAUUCUAAUUAAAUUCUCUCAAGAAUCAUACGUUGACUGCUGCAUAUGUAUGAUACUUCAAUAGUAGUUAAAAAAAAAAAUCAAGCAAUAAAUAAAGAAAAUUAGCAUUGUAUGAUGAAAAUCCUUUUUCCUUCAGAAAUUGAUGCUAAAAAUGUUGGUUUGAGAAAAAACUUACUGGACAUUAGCAAAUAAAGGAAAUAUAUAGAGUAUCAGAUUACACAUGGUAUAAAGAGACCCGACAAAAUUAAGAAACUCAAAAUAGCCAUAAAUCGAAGAGUUUUAAAACAAGGUUGAAAGAGUUAGAUGAAAGAGUUAAGAGUUUUAAAAAAGAAGGCUUAAGAAGGAAAGGAAAAUUAAUUUAAAAGGGAAUCAGGACUGUUGUGUUGUAGACACUCAACAAAAAGAAAAGUGUAAGGAGAAAAGGUUCUCGAUCAUACAGCAUCUUGGCGUAGGUCAUCAUUUCCAGAUUUUGCAAGUUGACGAUAUUUACGGCCAUCCGAGCCUAAGCACUCAAUUACUUUAGGAAUAUUUAUGCCAUUCAUCACCCUGCAGAUCACAUGAUUAACUAAAUAAAACAAGAUUAUUUAUAUGAAAGUAGAUGAUAAAAACAAUAUACUUUAAACAUACGUAAUGGAAUCUGCUAGACCCUUGAAAUGUGGAAAGGAACCUUCUCUAUACUGGCAACUUGGGUCAACUGGAAUAGUAGCUGUGACAACCGGCACCUGAGAUUAAAUAAAAGAAAGGAUCAGAGAACUUCCAAUCCUACUUGAGUAAAAGACCAGUUUAAAGGAAAAUAAAACAACAAAAAAAAAAAAUCUCGAGAUUUAAGAUAUUAGUUAUCAAGAGAAAAUGAGUCACAAAAUUUAAAACCCAACUUUGCUGCAAUUCACAUGAAGCAAUGGCCAAUUAAACAAAUAAACAGAAAGAAUGUGCACAGAAUAGUGAAGAUGGUAUCUACAGCCAGCUAAAAGAGUCACCUAACAAACAUGUUCAACAAGAAGAAAAGAUAUAUGAAGCAUUCAGCUUGGCAUUGCAAAGUAGGUAAGGCAGACAUCCAUGUGGCCCAUUAUUGUUCAAAAUGCAACAAAAUGUGUAAGAGUUACUUUCUGAAAUAACUAAUGGGAAAAUCUAUGCUUCAAUAGAUUGCUUCAUUAAGCAAAACAUAUCAAAAAUAUCUUUCCAUUCUUCCACAAUGAAAACGCAUAUAUUUCAGCAUCAUCUAAAUUAAAUUUAUAGAGGCAAUUUUCUAUGGAGCAAGGAAUUCAUCUUUUAAUGGAUGAACGUCUUUGGAAAAAGCCAAUAUGUUUGGUUCAUGUCAUCAUGAUUCUGUGCUACAUUUAUGGCACACUGUAGAAGCAACUAUCAACAAAUUAUUUGAAUAUAUUAAUGUGCUUACAAGUUCAAGCUGCCGAAGACUACGGAUAUCUCUUGGUAAUGGAAUUCUUUUGUUUGUUUCCUGUCACGAGAUUGACAGAAAAUACUCAGCGUCAAUAUUAUCUCACUAAACAAAGAGGAAAAAUCCCCAACAACUAUCAUAACUGAAUGCGCAAGAAAAAGCCUAACACAUCAGAUGAUCAGAUUAUGCUAAGGUAACCGACCUCCUUUUUCGUCUCUAAUUCAGCGAGUUUGAUAUAAACCUCAACCAUUUGUUUCAUCUACAAGAUGGAGAACAUUAUCUUCAAGUUCAGAAAAAUAAAGAUGCCGAUUUGGUGUUCAUAGAUCAAAAGGUUCAGAAUAGCAUUAAAAAAUCCAAAGAAAAUUGGCAAACCUGUUGAAUUAAAGGUCCAUGGCAUGAGGAUAACUCGUUUAAGAGAUUUUCUGCAGCGAGUUUCUUAUCCAUAUCUACAACAAAGGAACUUCUACUCCUUUGCUUGUCUUUGACACGGUCGCCAUUUGCUAGAGCAAGAAGCUGAUAAGAAAAUAUAUAAAUAAGUGGUUAAUAAAGAACAAAAAGGUCGAUAAUAAAUGUACAUUUGAGUUACCAAAUACAUACAAUUUAAACAGAGAAAUAUUGAUUUUGCUUACGCAAUUCCCAAAUCCCAGGAAGUUUAAAUUCAAUCAGAAGCAUAAAAUGCUGAUAUUUUCAAAAUACUAGUCUAGGUAUGAGCAGAUGCCAGAGUGUUUAGAUCUAUUAAGGGAAGAGAAAAUUCUUCAGUCGAAGCAUCUAUACUCAAUCCAUCAACUAUGUUAUCCUUGGUUGACUAAUAAAAAACUUCAGGUAAUCUCGCCAUCCAUCCUCUCUAAUUAGCAUCCUCAUAACAUACAUUUUCAGUUUUAGAGUUCUCUAUACAACGGUGCACUUUGAAGGCAUAUGACCUCAUAUUGCAGAUACAUAUCUAGUUUUUAAUCUGAUAAUCUCUCACUUCUGUGCCAUUUCCUUCCUUACAGGUCAAAAUUUAUGGUCACAUCCAGUAGGGCUGUAGUUUAACAGUUUUAACCAAUAGGUGCAUAAGUUCUACACUUUAUAUGCUUGCAUAAACCAAAUGGGAUAUUUAUAUCCUGUUGCACUUAUAUGCAGACCUUUUCCCUCAGUUUAUGGCAUUUUAGGUCUCACUUGGGGUCUCUUUAGCCUGUGGAAUUCUGCAGUAAACCUUCUUUCUUAGUUCUUUGAAGAAGCAAAGCAUUUCCAUUACAAUCAACUCUACAGCUUCUCACUGCGGUAGAAAUGCAAGCUCCAAUUUAAAGCCCUAGCUUUUCGCUUUUGAGGCCCAAUAACUUGUAUCAGUUCCCGCCAAAGAAAAUUCUCCGAAAUAUUUGUUAGCCAAACAUCUGGUUUCUUGAAGCUUCUGUCAGGAUGUAGAGUUGUUUCCAAAACCCAAGCCAAAGAAACACUACAACUCUCUGUAUCCAAUACAAUAUGUAUAUCUUGGUCACCUAACCCCCAAUGUCAGACUGCAAUAUCAUGUAAUUCAACAAACUACACAGGAGAGGGAAAAAAAAAAACUAACUAAAUUCCUAAGAGUUGCCUAUUUCACAAGUAUACAUAUUAGCAUACUGCUAGUGUAGUGCACGAAAAUGAUAAACAAAGUAAAACAAGAGUCAAAGUAAUAUCCAACAAGUUCCACAUCUUCAGUACCUGAAACAUCGUAUGGUAUGGAUGAUCAAUGGCCAUUUUCUUAACAAGAGAAGCUAAUGCAAUCUGCAAAAAUAUAAUAUACUUCUGGAUUAUGAACAUUUGACAUUUGAUCGUAUACAUUUAAAAGGAAUUCUCACAGAAUAUAACCUGAAAGUUGUUGGACCCUAGAACAUCCUUUGAACUACCAAGUCUUGAAGCAAUCUGAUAAACUAGCGGUAUGAAUUUGUAUGACUGAACCUGUAUGUUCAUAAAUAAUUAGUAUUUAAAUCAAUUUGAUGAAAAGUAUCUAAAAUGGUGGAAUCAUACAUCAAAUAAGAACACAAAAAAAGAAGAUUCUCAAAGAUACAUUAGAAUGAACGAAUAAUAGGUAUACUGUAGGAAAGCCACCUCCUUUAUUGUUCGAAUCAUUGCUUUCACGACGUGCUCUCUCGAAAAAAGACUGAACCACAAGGAAACCAAUCGAAAUACCUGAUGCACAGUAAUUUUCAAAUAAUAAUCCAAGCAGUGUAAUGAUCUAAAAAAGACAUAAAAAAGACUGGUAUAUUAAAAAUGUUCUGUAUUUGUUAUAUUAAAAGUAAGCUUAUGAACAAUCAUAAAGCGAGGACAGAUAGAACUCCGGACAGACAGAUCAAUCAAUUAGUGGUUGAUGGAUUGACAAAUUGGCAGAUGGAUAUAAAGAUGGGUAGACUGAUAGACAAAUUGAUUGACAGAUGGAUCAAUUUGCUUGAUAGCUAGAUCAAUUUGAUUGCUAGCUACAUAGAUAGGUAGACAGAUAUAUAAAACAUAAAUACAUUACUGGGAAAUUCAAGAUAGUUUAGAUGAGAUAGUGUAACUUAAUUCAAAGAUGUAAGAUUUGAAAAGAGACUGGGUGGCGAUAUAUAGCAAGCUCUAAGCAUCACAGAUCUAAAAUUCAAUCCAGGGAAACAUACCCAAUCAUAGAAACAGUAGUUAAAGAGUUAAGACCAUAGUCAAAAUAGAAGAAUGAAAAUCCAACUCUUAACCAACGGACAUACAAGUAUACAACCAAUAGUUACCAUAUAUUUGUUUUUUCAUGGGUUUACAGUUAGCCUGAUAUUAACAAGAAUUCAACAUCAAAACAGUCAAUAUAAAAGGUUGAACAGAAUAUUUUUAUUGUCUUAAUGUAGGAGAAAAAUCAGUCAAAACAAUAAUGUAGAAAAGGCAAAAUAUCAUGCUAAGAAUAAAACAUACCACUCUCAGAUCAUAUUUUCCGCCUAUGACAAGAGAACGCUGAUAACCCUCCAGAGCUAAGUUGAGGAAGUUGUCCCUGUCAUCCUAAAAAGAGGAAAAGGAAAAUCAUAUAAACUGUAUGCUACAAAACUUCAACUAAGUAGAAAAAUAUAGAAAUAAGGCAACGGAUCAGAAAGGAAAAAACAACUUAUUAUGUCUUUAAGUGAACAAGGGUAAGAACAUAACACUUGUAAACACCAAAUCUGACUCCUACAUACUUUUACAAUGCUCAUGAACACCAAAUCUGACUCCUUCAUACUUUUUUCUUACUUUUUAUUCUUUUGAAACUUGGAAGCUAAAUGCUGUAUAGUUACUAUAGUACAUAACUACCACAGCUGAUUGGCAAACGGCAAAAUCUUGGUUUAAACAAAAGGGUAUCACAAAAUGAUUCGAGAUGGCCUUAUUAUUUCUGCAAGUGCAACCAUAAAUACAAGUGACAGUCUAGCAACCUAGCUUAGUAAACAUUAAAUGGUGAGAUGGUAAUUCAACGCUUUUUGAAUGAUAUAGGUAUGAGUAAAACAUCAAUCCACGAGGACAGAUAGAAUCCCAAAAAGUACUGAUGCAGAACUUCUAGACAGUUUGACAUAGAGCAUCAUCAUUUUUGAAACACAAUGGCUGAAAUUACAUAAGAAACAAGAAAUGACCACAAUAACCAAAUAACCAAAGGAAACGAUUCAAAUAUUCAUUUCAAAAGCAGUUAUGCAAGGGGCUUUGUUAAUAUCUCUUAUUUACAGCCUGACCAUCAAAUGUUCAUCAUCAUUUUUCAAGUUUUCUCAUGCCCUUCCAAUAUUUAUCCCCAGGACACUUUGUCUUGGGUUACUCAUAAACAUCUUUAGUAUUCUGAAAGAUGACAUGAAAGCCCAUAACCUUUUGCUCCAUUCUUCUGUUCAUGUAGCAAAACACAGUUGUGAUUUUCUCUCGAAUUAGAUACUUAGACGUUAGUUAGUAUAAUCUAUGGCACAGUUCACCGCAUGCAAACCCAAAUAAGCCCAUCACGUUCCAAAGCAUCCAAUUAAUCUGAAUCAUCAUAGCUACAUCGGAGCUAAAUACAGCACAUGCUAUAAUUACCUGAAGCUUCUCUGCCUCUUCUCGGUCCAUAGUAAGUUGUUUUUGUAAUUCUUGAAUUUUUACAGAGUAAUCAGUCUUCUCACCCUAAAUGAAUGGCUGGAUAUUAGUAAGAAGAAGAAUCAUAUUCACCAUUCAAUGUGAAGAAAGUACAUCAUAAGCAAAGAAAACAUGCUCCAUCUUAUUGUACAAGGAUAUCAUUCAAGUCUUUCAGUGGGUAAUAAUACUACUUGCCUUUGAGGAAGAUCUUAGCCUUUUAAUCAGUGCGUCCAACUCUCUGGUCUGAAUCAAAUGGACAUUUUGUGAUGCUAAAGAACAAAUAACAGUUUAAAUUUAUAUGGCUAUUAACGUUCAGCAUGUCCAGGUACCUUGUGUUUCCUCAGACGCAUAGCUGCUUGCCAUUCACUGGAUGCUAGCCUUUCCUCACAGCUUUUAGAUAGAGCAUCUGUAUAAUGUGCCAAAUGGAAAUAUGACUGACACUGUCGGGAUACCGCCUUUUUAUCCUUAUUCUUGCUCGCCUCACUGAGUUCUACCGAGUGCCGUAAGAAUUGCUCUAAAAUAGUUCUUGAGCUACAAAGUUAAAAAAUAAAAUAGAUAAAUUCAACAAAAAGAAAUAAUAACUAUGCAGAAAAAACAAAAUGAAGUUGGUGAAUUAGUGUAAUCGAUUAUUACUUGCUCGAUCUAGUUUCAGCCAACCACUUCCCAACUAAUCGGUACACAUUUGAGAUCUCCUCUUCCUUCGGAUAAUUUUGUAUAAUGUAUUUUCCAAGAUUGAUAGCCAUGUCAUGCUGGCCUUGAGCCCGCAGUAGUUUAGCUUCUUCAAGCUGCAUAGAAAUUGCGGGAUUCAUGCAAAAAAAAAAAGAAGAAAUAAUAAGAUAUAAGGAUACUCCACAAUAAUUGUAUUGGAAGACACAACACGAGCAGAUCAGUACAUACGUUAGAGUUUUUUUUUUUUUUUUAAGGAAACCCCUCUCAUAUUGCAAAUAUACAACUUCAAUCCAAUGUUAUGGUUCUAACAACAUUUUCGUGGAUAUUUCUUUUCCGGAACAAAAUACCUUUGAUAAAACAAAAUAAGUGCAUCUAGAAAGACAUAAGAUUUGUCUUAAACUAAUUCACCAAUAAAACUUAUUUCUUCCUACCGUUGAAAUGAAACAUGAAUGAACAAAGUGGGGAAUGAGCUCCAUACCAGUAUGAUACUAUAUAUUUUACAAAAUAGUGCAUGAUCAGAUUAAAAAAAGCAAAUGUAAAAUGCCUCGAUAUAGGGUGGUUUGCUUUUCAAUUAAGUACUUAAAGAGUACUAUUAUGAACCAGCACAAUAGAAAUACUACCGCUAUGGCUUCUCUCCACAACAGAAGCAGAAGCACCAAACAGAAGAAGCUCUAGACUUUUCAAUUUGCCAAACAUAGUAGAAGUGGAAGUGACGGAAAACAAUAUCAAUUAAUUGUAUGGUCAGUAGAAAGUCUGUUACUGUACCCUAGCAACAAAGUAAGUAUGUGAUGUAGCUUGUUGUUGGGUCUGACAACUGAGUUCCUUGAGCUCAUAUAAAGCAGCAGCAGCCUGAGAAAACCUCGAACCCUAAAUUCACAUAGUUCAUACGAUAAACUUAGAAAAAGCAUUAUAAGGAGAUAAAUUCGUUAAUGAUGUAUUCAAUAAAGAUAAUUACCUUACGCAGUGUGGAAGCAGAUUGCAACAGAUGUUCCACCGUGCAUUCUUUGCAAUUUACAAUCUGAAGAAGCACGCGUCUAAAGGCAAUGAAGGGCUCCAGCAAAUCAAGGUCGAGCUGCAAGUGCUGUAGAAUGAAGUUCCAUUCUUCAUUCAACAACUCUAGCUACCAAAAUUGAUGCAACAAAUCCGUUAGGCAAUUUGCGUAGAAAACAAUAUGAAGGGUAAAAUUACAGAUACCACCUAUUCUAUCCUGGUAUCGCGACUUAGUUCCUGAACUUAAUAGUCUUGAAUUUUCUUAUGUGGAAUUGCAAAAAAUGAGAAAGUUCAGCGAAUAAAAUGCUUAGAUAAAAAGUACAGGGACAGUCUCAAUAUCUGGAUAGUACAUGGACAAUCCAUACAAUUUACCCGGUGCAAAUUUAAGCCUGCAAAUUAGGAGAAUAUAAUAACCUCAAUUCUUGAAGGUAGAACAGGUUCGGGAAAUAGAUGAUUGACUUUAAGGUCAGAUUUCGAUAUUAGUUGUGGAUAUGACUUCCACCUCAAAUUCCAAGCCAUAGUAAGGUGGUCUAACAUCUGUGAUUAAAGAAAACUGUUAAAUGGCAGCUACUAAACAAAAUACUGCAGUAUAUCAUCUCAUAAUCUAUUACCUGAAGUUUGACAAUACUAGAAUGGAUAUACUUGGUACUCUCCUUGCUUGCAUUUGAUAUAGACAACACAAGAUCCUAUGUAUAAAAUCAAAGGAUUAAAAAUGCAACAACUAAAAGAGUAAUGUACAAGCAUGAAAUUUUAGACAGGAAAAAUUGAUCAGAGGUAAACAUGUACAUCAAUACCUUCUUCGCAUCUGCAAGUUUCAUACCGAACUCAUCAGCAUCACCCUCCUGAAAAGCUCUCAAGCAUCUAAAGAACCAAAAAGAAAAAUAAGAAACAAUACUACAAAGAACAACUCAGAAAGAAAAAGAUUUAUAGCAACUCCAAACAUCACUUGCCUAAUAUCUUUUCAAAUGGAAAGCAUGAAUGUUAUAUAACUAAAUAUUCAUCUUGUAAAAGGUAAAUAAAUAUGGACAGGAAAUAACUAAAGUGAUGAAUAAAAAAAGACUAUAUCUGCAAAGUUGUAAAGGUUACAGCGUAACAGAAGAGCUAGCCUGAGAAUUCAAUCAUAAUAACGAAAUUUAUGCUUUGAAACACAGCUCUAAAUUAAGGAGUAGAUUUCAUCACGACAAAUGAAGGCUGAAGCAGAAUAUCCAAACCUAAUGUAAUAUAUGAAAAGAAUCAAAGCUAUCACAGGAUUGAGUUAAAGGUACCUGUGUAAGCUUUCAUUGAAUAGACUGCUGUUCAUGUGUUGGGUAGUAUCUGUAACACUAGCACCUGGAGUGAAAAAUGAGAGAUCCCAAUUCCCAGCCCUCCAAGCAGCUUCAUACUACACCACACAAUAAAAACACACAAAAACAAAAUAAGGUAUAGGACACCUAAAAAGAAUAUAUAUAUAUAUAUAUAUAUAUAGCGAGAGAGAGAGAGAGAGAGAGAGUUGAGCUAGAAUACUAUCUUUAGUUAACGAGCUCUGUUGCUGCCAUUUUGUUUUGGGUUAAUUACACUAUUAGUCCCCAAUCUUUGCACCUUUUUUCAUACCUUUCUUUUUUUGCAAAUCAAGUCUCCAACCUCUUGAUUUAUUACAAUUAAAUCCCAGCCGUAAGAACGGGCGUUAAAAUUGACGGAAAAUGUGAUGUUAGCACCAUGUCAGUGCCACGGAGGCCUUUCCCUAAGAAGGAUCCUUCUUAGGUGAAUCCCUUAUAAAUAAGGGAUUUCACCGAUACCUGAUUUAGUAGUUCAAUACUAUAUAUGCUAUGGUCGGAAUACAAGGUAUAAGAAGGAAUUCAAGUUAUAUGCUAUGAUCGGAGGCCUUUCCCUAUCACGACCGCCUUCCUUUAUUCGGAAUGAAUUCGUCUAAAAAGAAAGAGCUAGCGAACCACGCCGAUUCCAUUCCAAUUCUCUCAGACAGAGCAGGAUAGUUGCCAUCAAAUUGCCCUUUUAGAGCAAGGGCGUCAGCACCAGCUAAUUAUACAAUUUUCAUUUAAAUUGUAUAUUAUAAAUUUAAAUUUAAAUUCAAAUUUUAUUUUGAAUUAAAUUAUAAAUUCAUAGCAAAUUUUUUUCUUUAAAAUUUAAAUUUUGAUAUUGGAUUCAAAUUUAAAUUCAAAUUCACAUUUUGAAUUCAAAUUCUAAUUUAAUUUCGAACUUUGAUUUGGAAUUUCAAAUUCAAAAUGUGAAUUUGAAUUCAAAGUUUAACUUCAAAUUUAGAAUUGAAAUCAAAUCUCAAAUUCAAAUUAAAUUUUGAAUUAAAAUUUAAAAUUUAAAAUCAAAAUUUUGAAUUUGAUUUUAAAUUCAAAUUCAGAUUUUAAAUGUAAAUUUUAGUUUCAAAAUUUUGAUGUUAAAUGCAAAUUCAAAUAUCAAAAUCAAAAAUUUAAGUUUGAAUUCAAAAUUUAGAUUCAAUUUAAAAUUUGAAUUUCAAUUCAAAAUUUUAAUUCAGCUUUAAAUCAAAAUUGUUAAAUUUUAAUUUUAAUAUUAAUUUCGAAUUUAAAUUCAAAAUUUUGAAUUUUUUACUUUUGGAGACUAAAGUGAAAAACAUACAAAAUUUAGGGACCAAAAUUGACAUGCAAAAGAAAGCCACAUAGGUGCUGACAUGGUGAUUCCUAAUUUUAACCCCUUUUUUAAGGGCUAGAACAUAAUUGUAAUAAAAUCAAGAGAUUGGGAACUUGAUUGCAAAAAAAGAAAGGUUUACUCAAGUGAAAAAUGGUACAAAGAUUGGGGACCAAUGAAGUAAUUAACCCUUUUGUUUUUUAUGAUGGAGCUUCUGAAUCGACGAUCAGCACCAUUGAACAUGAUCUAAACCACUUUUCUUGUCUUUCUCCAAUAUUGUUCUCUUAUGCAUCAAGUGGACACAAAAAAAAACGGCUAAAAAUAAAUAUCCUUCAAAAAGUUAUGAGAUGAUUCUUGUAAUUGAGAUCAAAACUAUAGGUCUUGCUUUAAGUAUUUUAAAGAACUUUCUAAUAAAAAUUCAACUGAUUUGGAUUCGUUUAACACUAUUAAACGAGCAAACGCCUCAAAUCGACCAUUAAAAUUACAAAUUCUGAAACUCUUUAAUUAUUAGAUCAAUGACGUCGAAAAGAUUUGAAAUUUAAUUUUUAGAUACUUCCAAGUGGUAUAGAUUAUGUUCAACGGAGUUGAUCAUUGAUUUGGAAGCUCCAUCAUCGAAAAUACAUUGGCACAAUGGAGCCUAUUUACUACCGAUAGUAUUCUAGCCCAACUCUACAUAUACACACACACACAAACAUACAUACAUUUAAUAAUAUGUGAAUAGUGCAUACUACAGACAUUUUAGCUCUUGGAUGUUUAUUACGAAUAGUACGAAGGGGUAAACACUAGGCAGUAGGCACCCAAGGCUAAAAAGUCUCCACUAUGCACUAUUCAUGUACUUUUAGAAGCACUACAACUAAAUACUAUAUAUAUAUAUAAUAAUAUAUAUAAUCUUAGAAAUUGGUGACCUGUAUAUCUGUUAACUCGGAGUCAUGUUGAAAAUAGCCUUUCUGGUUAACUAAACCUUGGCAGUAAACAUCAAGGAGAUGAGUGCAACCAGUUUUCUGCAAAGAUCUCAUUAGACCUUUGUGUAGUUCCCAAUUUACCACUUUUUCUCCUCGAAAAGAGGCAUGAGAGCCAUCAGCAUACAGUUUUCCCGAUGAAGCUCCCAUAUGUUGAAUCGGAGAAGAUCUAACUAGUAAGUCAUAGUACUCCAGAGCUUUACUCCAACUUCCCUCAUGCUCAAAUCUGACAAUCUGAGAUGCUAUCUAUUGAAGGGGAAAAGAAAAACAAAAAGAAUGGGAAGAAAGAUGAGCAAGUCAAGGAAAUGAAUUCUAAAAAGAGAUAUGGAAACAGUGAGUCCAUUUCAGUACAGUAAAUAUUAGUGGCAGAUAACUGAUGUCAAAAUAAACUCCACUAAUGUGAAUUGCCUCAACGACUGUCAAAAUCAAUUGACAUAUGGCUUUUGAAUAAACAUAAGGUAAAAUUCAACAUAAGGUAAAAUUCAACAAAGAAUAUUAAUAGUUUUGCAACAAUGCUUAUCUGUACACUAAUACAAAAAAUAAAAAAGCAAGUAAACAUAUACCUCCAGAAGUGCAACAUUCACACAAAAAAUUUAAAAGUGAAUAUACUGGAGUUCAAAUUUGAAUAAACCCUUAUAUAGAUACAUAAUCUACGAAGGUAACCAUAUAUGCAAUCUUAACUUUAAAAACAUUAAAAUUUGAAUAAACAUUUCAGAGUGCACACUUUUGAGAAUACCUAUCUAAGAUCCUCUAGUUAAAAAUCCUCGUGUUAGAAGAUUUGGGGUUGCAAUAUAGAGGUUAAUACAUGAAUAUUAUUGCGAUGGACAAUAUCACUACACUCUGGAACCUAUAGACUAACUUAAAAGAACAACCACGAGAUUUUGGAGGUUCUGUACCCUACAUUAUUUAUCCUAAUGGUGAGCAUCAAAAGCAUAUUUCAAAUAGGUAAAAUUGUAGACACCAAUAAAUUAAGUUAUGUUAGUCUUAUCAAAUGAUUCUUGUGCCAAACCAACAUAUAUCAAACUAAACACAAUUUCUGAUUUUAGCUUUAUAUAAUUUUGUUAUUAAAUAACCAGAUUUCAUGAGAAGAUAGAUUUUGUUGGAGGUUGAAUAUGAAAGAGAUCAUUGCUGAAUAUGCAAAAGCUAAGAACGCAUAACAAGUAAAUAUUUUUAAAGGAAAUAACCUUAUUUGACUGGAUGAUUCCAUAGAUGCUAUCAGGUUCAUUGAUCUGUUUGAAUGCUGCAACCAAUAGAUCAAUAUGUGGAGGCAACUGGAAACAAAAAGAGCACAAAAGAGCACAAAGAAAAUGUUUAAAGCUGGAAACAUAUCAUCCGUAAAUUCCAAACCCCAAAGAAAUAGGAGAUAUACUAACCAACUCUUCUUGUGAAAAAUCAGGAGGGCCUAAUGCCAGACCAUUAAAAUGUUCCUCACACCAGAGUUCCGCAUACAUUACUGCUGUGAAGUAUGAUCCACAACGCUACAAAGAUGCAAUAAAGAAGUCAAAGACAAUAACAGAAGCCAAAGGAAAGAGAGGUGAACUUUGAUUAGAUAAUACUCAUCCAAACAAAGUACAGCAAGUUACAUGAUUAAACAAAUGUGUAUUGCCAACAUGGAAAACGAAAAGGUAAUUUAGACUGAAGUUUCAAUGGUCAUUUGAGAAACGACUCCUAAAGAAGAGGAAAAAGGAUUUAUCUUGGUUAAAGGUCUAAAAUAACAGAAGGUAUAGAUGUAAAACUUAGUGAUUUGCCGACAACCAGCAUUAGGUUCUGGUAGAACUUACAGUACGCUAUCAACAAGCAGAACCAUAACAGUUAGAAUGAUUUAGAAAGGAGAGAGGCUUGUCUACAUUCUUAUUUGAACUACUUUAAGCAACCAAUAAUUUAUGUAGAAAGAUAUCAGAAGGCAGACUCACAAUUGCUGCUUUAGCAACCACAAGAUACGCAAUCAUCAAAUAAGUUACUUAGAAAAAUAUCAGAAGGGAAACUCACAAUUGCUGCUUUAGCAACCACAAGAUAAUCAACGGAAAGCCAGUACACCUAGGGAAACAAUAACUUGUUAGAAGAAAGAAUAUAAUGAAUAACAGCAUUAUGGUAUCUUGAAAAUUCUACUAAAUUAGGAUGGAAUAACACGAGCCAAAAAUCAUAAACCAAUAUGCUACAUGAAUGACGUCAAAGUAGAAUACUCUCCACAGAACUUAGACAAUAUAAAGAAAAUUAGGCAAAAACUUAAUUACCAAAUUUUGGACAUGCAUAAAUCUGAUCAAUUCAUACCUUACUAUCAACCUACAGUAAAUAAUAUCUCUCUUCCAUAUCGCAAAUAGCUUCUCUAUAAGAUUAAAUUUGAAUCUCUUUACAAAAUGGACAUUCAUACAAAAUAAAAUUUAAAAUGCAAACAUUUGAUCAAUCUUAUCAGCUUGCUCAAAAGAAUUAAGGCAUUAAAUCAAAGAACAAAGCCGCUGUUAAACAUUCAUCUCAAACUUUUGGUCCUUCGGUAUGAUAGUAAAUUGCAAGAAAGAAAUUGCAACAAUUAAAGAAGAUAAUGAGAACGGGAGGCUGCAAGGGUGGUUUUGUUAGUGUAGCCUUACUUCAAAAUUUACUUUUUAACUUUAGAUGGCCUCUUUAUCUCUUUCCCACAAGGGUAAAAAGAACAACCACCAGGUCCAACACCGUCUUUCGUAAAACUAGAAAGGAUUCCAAACCAGGAUCAACACUCCAAAAUGCACUUAAAUUGCAUUAACUCAAAGUCAAAGUAAUAGAUUACGUUAAUUGAUUAGUUAGUAGCAACUUAACCUUGUAUAUUACAGCUAAAUCUCUUCAACCAAAUAAUUUUGCAUUAUCUUUGCUUCAACGAAAAUAAUUUUGCUUUAUCUUGGAAGACAGAACACCGAGAUAACUGCUAUGAACAGGGAAGAAGACAGUAAUUGCUCAUGUUUAUAACCAAGAUAACUACCUUUUGCCACAAGGAAGUCAACUGGAGAGCACUGAAUGAUCGAUCUUUACUUCUUUCGGAUCGAAAUUUCGCCGAGGUUUUGUCAUUCUGUAAAAUUUCAUGAUGGUUGCAUUUAGUACAAUCGUAAUGCAAGACUGCACAACAGUCACAGGUAAUAACAAAAAAAAAGAACAUAUAUUGAAAAAAUAGAACAUUUAAAGCUCUUGAAUUAAGGAGCUUAAGAAAGAAAGAACCCAGUAAGUUCAAUUUUCCAUAGUGGAAUACAAAGACCAAAAUAGACACACAAGUAAGUUUACCUAGCCAGUAAUAUGAAUACAUGCCGAGUACCACAACUACUUUUUCAAUUCAAUAAUGUUGAGACCUUUUUUUAUGACUUUUCAUGCUGUUUGGCUAGUUGGGUAGUGCAAAAUCGUAGAUGUUCAUCACAUCCGAGUAAAAAGUUAGAGGAGUUCUUUUACUAUUAUCUUCAAAUGUGAAAAACGUUUUAUUUAUAAAGAAUAAUAUGUAUUCAUAAAAAUGGGAGUAGUCAUAUUCUUGAGAAGUAAUCAAACCAAAAUAAUCCUUCAAACCAACCAUAGUUAACCCAAAAUGAAGCAACACAUUUCAAACCAGAAUAUACUCCAAGCACUUCAAAGUAUCCAAGCCUUUAGGCUGUGCAAUUCAAAUGAGAGAAAUUUCAAAAAUGAUUCAUCAAUUCCUUAGAAUGACAACCAAGGAACAAAACUACAUCAUAUGAAUUUACUAUAUUAGUAAUGAGGCAUGCUAACCUUCAUGACAAAAAUAACUAUCUAUAUGUAGUGCCUAAUUAUACAUUAUUAAUUUUCCCAUGACAAGACAUCCUUACUUUCAGAGCCGCAGAAAAAGAUCCAGCUCUUUCAGUAACAUAAAAAGAUCUGAUUUCAUUUAAUGCUUCCAAUAAGACCUGAACUGACUUGAUCAGAUUAUUUGAAUCAGAGAAAAUGUUUUCCCGAAUCUGCAAUAAAUUUGAGCCCAUAGUAAAUCAAGGUAGAAUGAUAUAGUGAAAUGACAAUUAACUAUAAGUUAGGGGGGGCUCAGAUACCAAACCUUCGUUGAGAUUAAUUUACAAAGGGCAGCAUUAGAGUCAGUCUUUCCCGCAAGGCUCACCAGCACGCUAGCAAACAGAAGCUCAGCUGUCUCAGCCUUCAACAAGACUAUAUUUUGACAGAGUCUGCAAAUGAGAAAGAGAGUACAUGAUUACCAUCAUAUUUAAGAGUCUCAAAUGAAAAACAUAGUACCAUAUUUCCGCGAUAAUGAGACAAGCUAAUCGAAGUACCUUAAAAUUAUAUCAUCGCAAUGACAAACAAGUGAGUGCACAAGGGAACACACCCAUGUAUCAUAGGUUUUUGCUUCUGUCCCCCAGAGAGAAGAAUCUUCUAAAGAAGCUGCAUAGAUACAAGUCAUCAAACUUAUGAACUUUUCCAGGCAAAAAGGUGGCUAGUGAUGUGCUACAAAAACAUGAAAACAAUGUAAAGCAGGAUCAAACACAUAACAGACUUAGGCCCCGUUUGGAUACCUCUAAAAACGUAGCAUAGUUAAACUAUGCUACGCCGAUAGAAAAAUAAUCCUAUGAAGCGUUUGGAAGAAAAAAAAAAUGAUGUAACGUUUGGAAGAAAAAAAAAAUGAUGUAAUUUUUGGAGUAUAGUUAUACUAUACUCUAAAAAAUAGAGUAAACUUACAAUCCACUUUAACCAAAGGAAAAAAAUUCCACCAUUUUGGGCUCCCGAAGAUGUAUCAAUUUCUAAAUUUUAAAUUUCAACAUAAAAUUUUAAAUUUCAAAUUUUAAAAUUUUAAAAUUCAUUUUUAAUUUUGAUUUCAAAUUUCAAAUUUCAAAUUUCAAAUAAGUUCAAUUUGCAAUUUCAAACUUUCAAAUUUCGAAAUUAAAAAUUUCGAAAAUUUCAAUUUCAAACUUUCAAUUUCAAAUUUCAAUUUCAAAAUUUCACAAUUUGCAAAUUUUAAAUUUCAAAUUUCAAUUUCUAAUUUCAAAUGUUCAAAAUAGUUAAAAUUUCAAAUUUCAACUUUGUCAAUUUCAAAUUUCAGAAAGUUCAAAUUAAUUUUCAAUUAAUUUCAAAUUUAAAUUCAAAAUUUUCAAGAUUUCAAAUUAAUUCAUUUAAAAUUUCAAUUACUUUCAGAAUUUCAAAUUUCAAAUUCAAAAUUUUUCAAAUUUGAAAUUUCAAAAAUUUAAAUUUGAAAAGUUCAAUAUUUCAAAUUUCAAAUUUCAAAAAGUUAAAUUUUCAAAUUUCAAAUUUCAAAUUUCAAAUUUUAAUUUAAUUUUAAUUUUAUUUUUAAUUUCAAAAAUUUAAAUUUAAACUAAAUUUUAAAUUUUAAAUUUAUAAAUAUUAAGUUUGAUAAAUAUUAAAUUUAAAAUGUUAAAAUUUUAAUAAUAGAUUUUUUAAAUUUCAAAUAAUUUAAAGUUUAAAUGUGUAUACUUUACAUUUUUAACAUUAAAGUUUCAAAAUUUCAAAUUUAAAUUUUAAAUUUCAAUUUAAAUUUUCAAAUUUUAAAUUUUAAAUUUCAAAAUUCCAAUUUCAAAUUUCAAAUUUAAAACUAUUAAUUAAUUUUUAAAUUUUAAAUUUUAAAUUUUAAUUUUAUAUUUUGAAUUUUGAAUUGUAAUUUUUAAAAUUUUAUUUUUAAAUUUUGAUUUUUGAAUUUUUAAUUUUUAAUUUUUAAUUUUUAAUUUUAAAAUUUUAGAAAUUUAAUUGUUAUAAAUCCUGUGGAAUUGUAUGAUAUGUAUCUAAAUAGCUUAAAAAUAAAGCUGUGGAAUUUUUUUGUAGUUACAGGAUUCCGUAUUUCAUUUAAACCAAAACCAUAGAAUAAAAAUUUCAUGGAGUUUUUUAACUAUGCAUCCAAACAGGGCCUUAGUCUAGUAUACAAUAAUCCCAAAGGUCAUAAGCCAUGGGAUGUGUCAUAUUGACCAUUGUUCAUAUUCCGAGUUCUAACUCAGUAAGUCUAUGCAAUUCCUCUUCUACUCUAGGUACGCAUCAAAGGAUGAGAAAAACAAGGUGCUUAUCAAAGGACAAGAAAAACAAGGUGCCUAUCAUUGGACAAGAAAAACAAAGUAUGGUCUACACUAGAACAAAAGGAAAUUAUGUUACAUUCAUAGUCAGUUAUAGUUCGAGAGGUCUACGGUAAAAUAAUAAGUCACAAGAUCACUUAUGUCAAAUUAUUGCAACGUAAGAGCAUCAAUAAAAUAUAUUAUGAAAUGUGGAAUUACCACAAGAGUUCUUUUCAGAAUCCAUCAGUAACUUUUCAACUGUUGGCAAGUUAACACCUUUGGAAUGAACCUGCAUAACCAUAAUAAAUAGAAAAAAUGCACCGAAAUAUUGGAAGAAUAUAACAUCAAAAAUGACAAAAAGAAAAAAAGAGCAAAAAAUGAAAAACAAUAUCUGCAACCUAUAACCUAUUUAUGGAAAAAAAAAUUCUAGUAAGAAAAUUUACCGCAAGUAAAGAUCUCUCAUAAGAACCCAGUGAUGCCAAUGCAUUCUGACCUUUCUCUGUUGAAAGAAUUCCCUGUUAAUUUGCAAAGGAAAAAAAAAAACGCUAUCAAACUAGACUCCGUAGUAUUUUGAAUUUCUUUUUAACAGUUACAGUAGGAAGAAAUGAAAUUGUAAGAUAAUGAUGAUCCAUUAGCAUAGACUCUAUGAAGUUAUAGUUUAUGCGAGGAAUCCACUUUGAAUGGUUCAGAAUGCAAGACUGACAUUCCAGUGUUAUAUAAGCUCACAAAUAUCACCAAGCUAACAGCAUUCAAAUUAAAUCAAGAAUGAAUUGUAAUACAAAGUACAGGUAAAUUGGCAUUCUCUUAUCACUAAUUAAUGUCCACCAACUUAAAAAUUAA